UGGGAAGGCCCAGACAGCCAGGAUGUUGGCUUAGAAGCAGCCAUCAUUUAAAGAAAGCGUAAUAGCUCACUGGUCGAGUCGGCCUGCGCGGAAGAUGUAACGGGGCUAAACCAUGCACCGAAGCUGCGGCAGCGACACUAUGUGUUGUUGGGUAGGGGAGCGUUCUGUAAGCCUGUGAAGGUGGCCUGUGAGGGUUGCUGGAGGUAUCAGAAGUGCGAAUGCUGACAUAAGUAACGAUAAAGCGGGUGAAAAGCCCGCUCGCCGGAAGACCAAGGGUUCCUGUCCAACGUUAAUCGGGGCAGGGUGAGUCGACCCCUAAGGCGAGGCCGAAAGGCGUAGUCGAUGGGAAACAGGUUAAUAUUCCUGUACUUGGUGUUACUGCGAAGGGGGGACGGAGAAGGCUAUGUUGGCCGGGCGACGGUUGUCCCGGUUUAAGCGUGUAGGCUGGUUUUCCAGGCAAAUCCGGAAAACCAAGGCUGAGGCGUGAUGACGAGGCACUACGGUGCUGAAGCGACAAAUGCCCUGCUUCCAGGAAAAGCCUCUAAGCAUCAGGUAACAUCAAAUCGUACCCCAAACCGACACAGGUGGUCAGGUAGAGAAUACCAAGGCGCUUGAGAGAACUCGGGUGAAGGAACUAGGCAAAAUGGUGCCGUAACUUCGGGAGAAGGCACGCUGAUAUGUAGGUGAAGCGACUUGCUCGUGGAGCUGAAAUCAGUCGAAGAUACCAGCUGGCUGCAACUGUUUAUUAAAAACACAGCACUGUGCAAACACGAAAGUGGACGUAUACGGUGUGACGCCUGCCCGGUGCCGGAAGGUUAAUUGAUGGGGUUAGCGGUAACGCGAAGCUCUUGAUCGAAGCCCCGGUAAACGGCGGCCGUAACUAUAACGGUCCUAAGGUAGCGAAAUUCCUUGUCGGGUAAGUUCCGACCUGCACGAAUGGCGUAAUGAUGGCCAGGCUGUCUCCACCCGAGACUCAGUGAAAUUGAACUCGCUGUGAAGAUGCAGUGUACCCGCGGCAAGACGGAAAGACCCCGUGAACCUUUACUAUAGCUUGACACUGAACAUUGAGCCUUGAUGUGUAGGAUAGGUGGGAGGCUUUGAAGUGUGGACGCCAGUCUGCAUGGAGCCGACCUUGAAAUACCACCCUUUAAUGUUUGAUGUUCUAACGUUGGCCCGUAAUCCGGGUUGCGGACAGUGUCUGGUGGGUAGUUUGACUGGGGCGGUCUCCUCCUAAAGAGUAACGGAGGAGCACGAAGGUUGGCUAAUCCUGGUCGGACAUCAGGAGGUUAGUGCAAUGGCAUAAGCCAGCUUGACUGCGAGCGUGACGGCGCGAGCAGGUGCGAAAGCAGGUCAUAGUGAUCCGGUGGUUCUGAAUGGAAGGGCCAUCGCUCAACGGAUAAAAGGUACUCCGGGGAUAACAGGCUGAUACCGCCCAAGAGUUCAUAUCGACGGCGGUGUUUGGCACCUCGAUGUCGGCUCAUCACAUCCUGGGGCUGAAGUAGGUCCCAAGGGUAUGGCUGUUCGCCAUUUAAAGUGGUACGCGAGCUGGGUUUAGAACGUCGUGAGACAGUUCGGUCCCUAUCUGCCGUGGGCGCUGGAGAACUGAGGGGGGCUGCUCCUAGUACGAGAGGACCGGAGUGGACGCAUCACUGGUGUUCGGGUUGUCAUGCCAAUGGCACUGCCCGGUAGCUAAAUGCGGAAGAGAUAAGUGCUGAAAGCAUCUAAGCACGAAACUUGCCCCGAGAUGAGUUCUCCCUGACUCCUUGAGAGUCCUGAAGGAACGUUGAAGACGACGACGUUGAUAGGCCGGGUGUGUAAGCGCAGCGAUGCGUUGAGCUAACCGGUACUAAUGAACCGUGAGGCUUAACCUUACAACGCCGAAGCUGUU
Molecule: ribosomal RNA, 1888 nt
Filed under: Escherichia coli
Lineage: Bacteria; Pseudomonadati; Pseudomonadota; Gammaproteobacteria; Enterobacterales; Enterobacteriaceae
Description: partial 23S ribosomal RNA
Rfam family: Bacterial large subunit ribosomal RNA
Source: RNAcentral